This 915-nucleotide long non-coding RNA is filed under the name Brassica napus (rape). RNAcentral describes it as "long non-coding RNA (BNAP_LNC008958)". The record is from RNAcentral. Lineage: Eukaryota; Viridiplantae; Streptophyta; Magnoliopsida; Brassicales; Brassicaceae.
GGGUUAGGUAGGAUUUAGGGUUAGGCAGGGUUUAGGGUUAGGUCAGGUUUAGGGUUAGAAGGGGUUUAGGGUUAGAAAGGGUUUAGGGUUAGGUAAGGUUUAGGGUUAGGUAGGGUUUAGGGUUCGGUAGGGUUUAGGGUUUGGUAGGGUUUAGGGUUAGAAAGGGUUAAGGGUUAGCAUGGUUUAGGGUUAGAAAGGGUUUAGGGUUAGUAGGGUUAAUAGGAUUUAAGGCUAGAAAGGGUUUAGGGUUAUGUAGGAUUUAGGGUUAGGCAAGGUUUAGGGUUAGGUCAGGUUUAAGGUUAGAAGGGGUUUAAAGUUAGGUAGGAUUUAGGGUUAGAAAGGGUUUAGGGUUAGAAAGAGUUUAGGGUAGGUAGGGUUUAGGGUUAGGUAGGGUUUAGGGUUAGGUAGGGUUUAGGGUUAGUAGGGUUUAGGGUUAGAAAGGGUUUAGGGUUAGAAAGGGUUUAGGUUAAGUAGGGUUUAGGUUAGGUAGGGUUUAGGUUAGGUAGGGUUAGUAGGGUUUAGGGUUAUGUAGGGUUAGGGUUAGGUAGGGUUUAGGGUUAGUAGGGUUUAGGGUUAGGUAGGGUUUAGGGUAAGUGGGGUUUAGGGUUAGUAGGGUUUAGGGUAGGUGGGUUUAGGGUUAGGUAGGGUUUAGGGUUAGGUUUUAGGUAGGGUUUUAGGGUUAGGAAGGGUUUAGGGUUAGGUAGAGUUUAGGGUUAAAUAGGGUUUAGGGUUAGGUAGGGUUUACGGGGUUAGGUAGGUUUACAAUUAGAUAGGUUUAGGGUUUAGGUAGUAUGAAGGGUUUAGGGUUAGGUUUAUGUAGGGUUUAGGGUUAGAUAAGGUUAAGGUCUAUGUUUAUGUAGGGUUUAUGGUUAGGUAGGAUUUAGGGUUUUAGGCAGUAGAAAAGGUUUAGCGUUU